ACAGAGCCAACGCGAGGGGCCCUGAGGAAGGGUCUGGGGGGUGGGGGUGUGUUCGACCCCCAAACAAAGAAGGGGGG
Molecule: small RNA, 77 nt
Organism: Bos indicus x Bos taurus (hybrid cattle)
Lineage: Eukaryota; Metazoa; Chordata; Mammalia; Artiodactyla; Bovidae
Source: Ensembl